This 495-nucleotide ribosomal RNA is filed under the name Pisione hartmannschroederae. RNAcentral's name for it is "partial 16S ribosomal RNA". It matches the Rfam family "Bacterial large subunit ribosomal RNA", at positions 1831 to 2609 of the family's 2925-position model. Lineage: Eukaryota; Metazoa; Annelida; Polychaeta; Phyllodocida; Pisionidae. The record is from RNAcentral.
UCUUGACCCUUAAUAUAAGAGGUCCAUCCUGCCCAGUGAUUUUAUUUAACGGCCGCGGUAUCCUGACCGUGCAAAGGUAGCAUAAUCAUUUGCCUUUUAAUUGGAGGCUAGUAUGAACGGACAAACGCGGUUUAUCCUGUCUCCCCAAAGCCCUCUAUAAAUUAGUCUCCAGGUGAAGAAACCUGGAUCCCAUAAAAAGACAAGAAGACCCUAUUGAGUUUAACAUUAUACCCAUUUCAUUGAUGGUUAUUGUUUGGUUGGGGCGACCAAGGAACAAUUGACUCUUCCUUAAUUUUUAAGGUAUAUUCUACCUCUCAUCUUUGACCCUUCAUUGAUCAACAGAAUCAACUACCAUAGGGAUAACAGGCUUAUUUUCUCUGAGAGUCCACAUUAAAGAGAAAGUUUGGCACCUCGAUGUUGGCUUAGGGUAACCUCUAAAUGCAGCAGUUUAGAUUGGUUAGUUUGUUCAACUAUUAAACCCCUACGUGAUCUGAG